Molecule: ribosomal RNA, 468 nt
Filed under: uncultured bacterium
Lineage: Bacteria
Description: partial 16S ribosomal RNA
Rfam family: Bacterial small subunit ribosomal RNA
Source: RNAcentral
GACGAACGCUGGCGGCGUGCUUAACACAUGCAAGUCGAACGGAAAGGCCCGGCGCUUGUGGGGUGCUCGAGAGGCGAACGGGGGAGUGACACGCGUGGAAACUGUCCUUGUCUGUGGGGUAACAUCAGGAAACAGGGGCUAAUACCGGAUAGGAUCUCUUGCUGCAUGGUGGGGGUUGGAGAGUUUCGGCGGUUGGGGAUGGACUCGCGGCUUAUCAGCUUGUUGGUGGGGUAGUGGCUUACCAAGGCUUUGACGGGUAGCCGGCCUGAGAGGGUGACCGGCCACAUUGGGACUGAGAUACGGCCCAGACUCCUACGGGAGGCAGCAGUGGGGAAUAUUGCACAAUGGGCGGAAGCCUGAUGCAGCAACGCCGCGUGCGGGAUGACGGCCUUCGGGUUGUAAACCGCUUUCGCCUGUGACGAAGCGUGAGUGACGGUAAUGGGUAAAGAAGCACCGGCUAACUACGUG